GCGGGUGUAGUUUAGUGGUAAAACUACAGCCUUCCAAGCUGUUGUCGUGGGUUCGAUUCCCCGAUUCCCAUCACCCGCUCCA
RNAcentral lists this transfer RNA (82 nucleotides) under Lederbergia galactosidilytica. Its description in RNAcentral is "Bacillus galactosidilyticus tRNA-Gly". It matches the Rfam family "tRNA". Rfam says of the family: Transfer RNA (tRNA) molecules are approximately 80 nucleotides in length. Their secondary structure includes four short double-helical elements and three loops (D, anti-codon, and T loops). Lineage: Bacteria; Bacillati; Bacillota; Bacilli; Caryophanales; Bacillaceae. The record is from RNAcentral.